Non-coding RNA from Aegilops tauschii subsp. strangulata, 160 nucleotides. The record is from RefSeq and is a predicted model, not a curated record. NCBI's taxonomy places the organism in Eukaryota, Viridiplantae, Streptophyta, Magnoliopsida, Poales, Poaceae.
AGACCAAAUGGUCCCUCCGGAAUGCGGACAUUUUUUCGACCACCUCCAAAUCACCUCAAUUUUGGCACACAUGAUCUCUUGCACAAAUAAUGCUAGGUUUCCAAGGUUUUGUAUUUUUUUGAAUUUUUUUGAAUUUAUAAUGCCCUCUAGACUGACUGCU